AUGGCCGUCGCCGCCCUCGUCCGCUCCUCCGCGCGCCACCGCCCCGCCGUCGCCGCCGCCCUCCUGCGCUCCACCGCCGCGCUCCCCCGCAGCUCCCCCGCCCCCACCAACUCCAGCGCCGCCCUCCUCUGCCCGCGCCGCUUGCUCUCCGGUCCCGCCCGGGCGCAAAUCAACACCGAGAUCUGCCGGGUGGAGGCGGCCAUCGCGGCGCGCUACGACUCCGCAUCGAAGAGAGUCGAUGAGCUCUCCGCCAACGUUAACAAGCUGGGCCAGGCAGUGGCGCAGCAGGACUACAACAUCACGCUGAACCUGGGCGAGACGUCGUUCAAGGUCGCCUUCAUCGUUCUCAACUCCGCGGUCCUCCUGGGCCUCGGCUCCUACACCAUCUUGUACACUCUGGGAGGCCGGUCUGCGAGGGCAGAAGCCUCUGCUCUCGUCGAGGGGAAGGUUGGCGAGCUGGAGGCCGAGCUCGUCAACAAGAUCGAGGGGCUGUACAAGGACCAGGAGAAGUCCAACAGUGAGGCCAGAUCGAGCCUCAACAAAAGGGAGGCUGCAAACAAAGCCAAGGAGCUCGACCUCAUUGCAAGGGAGAGAGCCCUCCAGGGGGGCAAGUGA
Molecule: ribosomal RNA, 615 nt
Filed under: Triticum aestivum (bread wheat)
Lineage: Eukaryota; Viridiplantae; Streptophyta; Magnoliopsida; Poales; Poaceae
Description: partial small subunit ribosomal RNA
Source: RNAcentral